GCUCAGGAUGAGGAAUGAAGACGGCCAUCUUGAGCUCAAACAAACAGAAGUCCUCUGAUGAUCUCAUCAGCCAAAUGAGGGGUUUUGACCAAGUGAUGCUCUUGAAAGGAGUGAAAGAAGAGGAUGUGGUAAAUUGUCUUCAGAGAAAAAGCUUCUCAAAAGGUCUUAAAACAGCUUGAAGAAUGGUCUGGGAUGUUAGGACUGAGAGAUCCUCUGGCUGAGAACAAGCUACACCACAUCAGUGCUGGACAUCAACCACAAACUGUUUCCAGACACGAGAGAAGAAGAUCACGAUGGGGAGAUGAAACCAGUUUAGAUGUGAUGAUGGGAAUCAUUAUUUUCUGGAACAGUAUCACAUGUCUUAUAUGUAUCACAUGAUCUGUAUCACAGUUGACUGGAUGGGACUGUGUGACUUUUAAGGACAUUUCAUCACUCAUCUGUGUGAACUGAUUUAUAUAUGAGGUUAAUGUAUCUUUGAUGAUAAUUAUUUUCAUUGAAUCUUAUUUGUCUUGAUGCUACUUUAUCAACUUUAUAGUCUAUGCUUCAAUAAAAUGAAAAUGGUGAA
Long non-coding RNA from Carassius gibelio (silver crucian carp), 565 nucleotides. RefSeq lists it as uncharacterized. The record is from RefSeq and is a predicted model, not a curated record. Lineage: Eukaryota; Metazoa; Chordata; Actinopteri; Cypriniformes; Cyprinidae. The transcript has 3 exons.